GAUGAACGCUGGCGGCGUGCCUAAUACAUGCAAGUCGAGCGAACAGACGAGGAGCUUGCUCCUCUGACGUUAGCGGCGGACGGGUGAGUAACACGUGGAUAACCUACCUAUAAGACUGGGAUAACUUCGGGAAACCGGAGCUAAUACCGGAUAACCUGUUGAACCGCAUGGUUCAACAGUGAAAGACGGUCUUGCUGUCACUUAUAGAUGGAUCCGCGCCGCAUUAGCUAGUUGGUAAGGUAACGGCUUACCAAGGCAACGAUGCGUAGCCGACGUGAGAGGGUGAUAGGCCACACUGGAACUGAGACACGGUCCAGACGCCUACGGGAGGCAGCAGUAGGGAAUCGGACGCAAUGGGCGAAAGCCUGACGGAGCAACGCCGCGUGAGUGAAGAAGGUCUUCGGAGCGUAAAACUCUGUUAUUAGGGAAGAACAAAUGUGUAAGUAACUAUGCACGUCUUGACGGUACCUAAUCAGAAAGCCACGGCUAACUACGUG
RNAcentral lists this ribosomal RNA (497 nucleotides) under uncultured bacterium. RNAcentral's name for it is "partial 16S ribosomal RNA". It matches the Rfam family "Bacterial small subunit ribosomal RNA", at positions 28 to 507 of the family's 1533-position model. The record is from RNAcentral.